UUAACAGUACAUAAAUAGUUGUUCGUGUCUUACCUAUGAUCCCAGAUCCUAAAAUGGAGUUAAUAUAGUUGAAUGACACCUUGACAGUGGAGCUUCCAUGUUUUGCGACAUUCUGGAGAAAAGAGUAGAUAAACACUGAAUGAGAAUAUAUAUUUGUAUUACCAAUGGAGAGCUCUGGGAGUCGGUGGAAGAUGCCUUGAACAUAGUUUGAUUGUCAACAAAAUGAAACAACAACUGUUUAUAGUUGUUUAUUAUUGCUAUUGAGUCUUUAUUAUUGUAGAGAUCGGUACUAUUGUUAAACAGAUGUAUAUUAUGUGUAAGAACUAAUAAAGAGAAAAUGGAUGUUUCAA
This 350-nucleotide long non-coding RNA is filed under the name Lepeophtheirus salmonis (salmon louse). RNAcentral describes it as "uncharacterized LOC121124278". Lineage: Eukaryota; Metazoa; Arthropoda; Copepoda; Siphonostomatoida; Caligidae. The record is from RNAcentral.